Molecule: ribosomal RNA, 451 nt
Filed under: uncultured bacterium
Lineage: Bacteria
Description: partial 16S ribosomal RNA
Rfam family: Bacterial small subunit ribosomal RNA
Source: RNAcentral
GUGGGGAAUAUUGGACAAUGGGGGGAACCCUGAUCCAGCCAUGCCGCGUGUGUGAAGAAGGCCUUUUGGUUGUAAAGCACUUUAAGCGAGGAGGAGGCUACCGAGAUUAAUACUCUUGGAUAGUGGACGUUACUCGCAGAAUAAGCACCGGCUAACUCUGUGCCAGCAGCCGCGGUAAUACGUAGGGUGCGAGCGUUAAUCGGAUUUACUGGGCGUAAAGCGUGCGUAGGCGGCUUUUUAAGUCGGAUGUGAAAUCCCCGAGCUUAACUUGGGAAUUGCAUUCGAUACUGGGAAGCUAGAGUAUGGGAGAGGAUGGUAGAAUUCCAGGUGUAGCGGUGAAAUGCGUAGAGAUCUGGAGGAAUACCGAUGGCGAAGGCAGCCAUCUGGCCUAAUACUGACGCUGAGGUACGAAAGCAUGGGGAGCAAACAGGAUUAGAUACCCGUGUAGUCC